This 69-nucleotide transfer RNA is filed under the name Fistularia commersonii (bluespotted cornetfish). RNAcentral's name for it is "tRNA-Arg". It matches the Rfam family "tRNA". Rfam says of the family: Transfer RNA (tRNA) molecules are approximately 80 nucleotides in length. Their secondary structure includes four short double-helical elements and three loops (D, anti-codon, and T loops). The record is from RNAcentral. Lineage: Eukaryota; Metazoa; Chordata; Actinopteri; Syngnathiformes; Fistulariidae.
AGGUGACUAGUUUAAGCAAAAUCUUUGAUUUCGGCUCAAAAGCUUGUGGUUAGAGUCCACAGACACCUA